CCGCAGAUUCAGACAUUUGGUUCAUGUGCUUGGCUGAUAAGCCAAUGGUGCGAAGCUACCAUCUGAGGGAUUAUGACUGAACGCCUCUAAGUCAGAAUCCCGCCUGGAAAGCGACGAUGCAUUCGUGCCUCGGCCUCGAGAGGCGUAGCUAGACGGCCGCGUGGCCGUGGAAAGAGCCCGAUUCCGACCCGAGAGGCCGCGGCAAGAGGCGGCCUCGAAGUCGGUGGAUCCUCCUGCUCGAAAGGCGGGGUGCUAAACCAUUCGCAGACGACCUAGUUGAAGAUCGGGGUGUCGUGAUCACUAGAGCAGUACAUCUCACUGCGAUUUGUUGAGAGUAAGCCUCAAGAUCUGUCGGUUUGU
Non-coding RNA from Ciona savignyi (Pacific transparent sea squirt), 360 nucleotides. The record is from Rfam. Lineage: Eukaryota; Metazoa; Chordata; Ascidiacea; Phlebobranchia; Cionidae.